This 253-nucleotide ribosomal RNA is filed under the name uncultured bacterium. RNAcentral describes it as "partial 16S ribosomal RNA". It matches the Rfam family "Bacterial small subunit ribosomal RNA", at positions 524 to 776 of the family's 1533-position model. The record is from RNAcentral.
UACAGAGGGUGCGAGCGUUGUUCGGAAUUAUUGGGCGUAAAGCGCAUGUAGGCGGAAGCUUAAGUCGCGUGUGAAAGCCCCAGGCUCAACCUGGGAAGUGCGCGCGAAACUGGGUUUCUUGAGUGCUGGAGAGGGUGGCGGAAUUCCCGGUGUAGAGGUGAAAUUCGUAGAUAUCGGGAGGAACACCAGAGGCGAAGGCGGCCACCUGGACGGACACUGACGCUGAGACGCGAAAGCGUGGGGAGCAAACAGG